UACGAAGGGGGCUAGCGUUGCUCGGAAUCACUGGGCGUAAAGGGUGCGUAGGCGGGUCUUUAAGUCAGGGGUGAAAUCCUGGAGCUCAACUCCAGAACUGCCUUUGAUACUGAAGAUCUUGAGUCCGGGAGAGGUGAGUGAAACUGCGAGUGUAGAGGUGAAAUUCGUAGAUAUUCGCAAGAGCACCAGUGGCGAAGGCGGCUCACUGGCCCGGUACUGACGCUGAGGCACGAAAGCGUGGGGAGCAAACAGG
Molecule: ribosomal RNA, 253 nt
Filed under: uncultured bacterium
Lineage: Bacteria
Description: partial 16S ribosomal RNA
Rfam family: Bacterial small subunit ribosomal RNA
Source: RNAcentral